RNAcentral lists this ribosomal RNA (253 nucleotides) under uncultured bacterium. RNAcentral describes it as "partial 16S ribosomal RNA". It matches the Rfam family "Bacterial small subunit ribosomal RNA", at positions 524 to 776 of the family's 1533-position model. The record is from RNAcentral.
GACAGAGGGGGCAAGCGUUGCUCGGAAUUACUGGGCGUAAAGAGCGCGUAGGCGGUCUGACAAGUCCCCUGUGAAAGCCCCCGGCUUAACCGGGGAACUGCAUGGGAUACUGUUGGGCUAGAGUGCAGGAGGGGAGAGCGGAAUUCCAGGUGUAGCGGUGAAAUGCGUAGAUAUCUGGAGGAACACCGGUGGCGAAGGCGGCAUCCUGGACCGACACUGACGCUGAGGAGCGAAAGCCAGGGGAGCAAACGGG